Molecule: ribosomal RNA, 455 nt
Filed under: Phoberus capensis
Lineage: Eukaryota; Metazoa; Arthropoda; Insecta; Coleoptera; Trogidae
Description: partial 16S ribosomal RNA
Rfam family: Bacterial large subunit ribosomal RNA
Source: RNAcentral
CAAAAACAUGUCUUUUUGAUUAUAAUUUAAAGUCUAACCUGCCCAAUGAUUAUUAAUUUAAUGGCCGCGGUAUUUUGACCGUGCUAAGGUAGCAUAAUAAUUAGUUUUUUAAUUGAGAACUAGAAUGAAUGGUUGGACAAAGAAAAUUCUGUCUCAAGUUUAAUUUAAUUAGAAUUUUAUUUUUAAGUAAAAAAGCUUAAAUGAUUUUAAAAGACGAGAAGACCCUAUAGAGUUUAAUAUUAUUUAUUAUAUAUAAUUUUAGGUAUUAUAAAUUUAAUAUAUUAAAUAUUAUUUUGUUGGGGUGACUAAAAAAUUUAAUAAACUUUUUUUAUCUAAGUUCAUUAAUUGAUGAUUUUGUGAUCCAUUAUUUAUGAUUAAAAGAUUAAAUUACCUUAGGGAUAACAGCGUAAUUUUUUUUAAGAGUUCUUAUCGAAAAAAAAGAUUGCGACCUCGAU